Molecule: long non-coding RNA, 955 nt
Organism: Homo sapiens (human)
Lineage: Eukaryota; Metazoa; Chordata; Mammalia; Primates; Hominidae
Exons: 3
Source: RefSeq, a predicted model, not a curated record
GGCCUCACCCAGCCACCCUGCCGCCAUUAACAGCACUAGGCAGGCAGUGCGCAGAGCUGAGAACUUGCCCCAGGUUACCCGCCUCCCAGCUGCUAAACAAAAGGGAGGCUUUUCAGCUGGUUCAAAUUGUUACAAAGUUCAGCUAGAGAUUUGCUUUUACCUGCGGCGUUUUCCCCAUACCACUGGCUGCCCUCCCGAAGAAUUCCUGUGAUGCCAGGCAGGAAUGGCCUGGUUGGAGACCAGCUAGCUCCCAGGGCCUUUCCCGCUGCUUCCUCUACCCCUGUAUUUCGCUGGGCUCUCUAAAUGGAUUCAGCUCCAGAGGAGGAAAACCUUGAGACCCUGAGACUUUCAGAAACUUAUUCACAGUUACCAAAGCUGAAGCCAACUGUGGGACUUGAGCAUCUGUGGAUUGUGGUAGUUGUGGAGGAGACGGCAGUCCUGGAACCAGUCCCCACCAGACACCGAGAGAUGACUGUAAUUAUAGAACAUUUGUAAGAGUUAAAUUGAAUACUAUAACUUAGAAAAUAUAAGCACUUUAGAAAGGCUAGAUAUUCUUAUUAUUAUCUAAGAAAUUAGUAAGAAAUUAAAGAGCAAUGUUUUGUCAGAUUAUGUAAGACCUUGAAUGUUAGCAUUUAUUUAUAUGACAGCAAUAAAAUUUUCAGCAGAAACGUGGCAUAGUUAUUGUUCUGAUUUUAUUUAUUUAUUUUUAUAGCCAAAUCUUAUUACUGCAAAGAUGAUCUAGAAAAAGCUUACGAGUUUAUUGUGAACAUUCAGUUGAUAAGAAAUUAGCAUUAAUGAUGAUUACAAGAGUGGAUCCUGAUCUGUUUAAAAAUACAUUAUAUGUAUUGAGACAUCAUUAUAUAUGACAGCAACAUGCAUAAGUAUUAUUUGUCAAUUAAGAAAAAUAAAAUUUUUAAAAAGAAUGGAAAUACAAAGAAAAUCAUGUGUAGACCAC